CCUCAUUAUUUAUAUAUAUAUUCAAUAUAGCGCUCCACUUGCUGGUAUAUUGUUUAUACCUUUUUUUCUUGUAUUUUGCAUUUUCUUGUAUUUUGCACUUCAUUGUGGAUUAAGGUAUUCCACUUUUUGUGUUGAGCUGCUUUUAUUCAGGCACUUUAGUAUAUCACUCACUAUCUCAGUAAGGGAUAGUUUUUGUUUUCUUUGUAAG
This is a non-coding RNA of Pelobates cultripes (western spadefoot toad), 208 nucleotides long. The record is from the annotation of a GenBank genome assembly. NCBI's taxonomy places the organism in Eukaryota, Metazoa, Chordata, Amphibia, Anura, Pelobatidae.